AUAAAUACUCUCUUCACCUAAAA
This 23-nucleotide small nuclear RNA is filed under the name Arabidopsis thaliana (thale cress). Its description in RNAcentral is "snRNA_03785". The record is from RNAcentral. Lineage: Eukaryota; Viridiplantae; Streptophyta; Magnoliopsida; Brassicales; Brassicaceae.